Molecule: transfer RNA, 72 nt
Filed under: Lobosphaera incisa
Lineage: Eukaryota; Viridiplantae; Chlorophyta; Trebouxiophyceae; Trebouxiales; Trebouxiaceae
Description: tRNA-Gln
Rfam family: tRNA
About the family: Transfer RNA (tRNA) molecules are approximately 80 nucleotides in length. Their secondary structure includes four short double-helical elements and three loops (D, anti-codon, and T loops). Further hydrogen bonds mediate the characteristic L-shaped molecular structure. tRNAs have two regions of fundamental functional importance: the anti-codon, which is responsible for specific mRNA codon recognition, and the 3' end, to which the tRNAs corresponding amino acid is attached (by aminoacyl-tRNA synthetases). tRNAs cope with the degeneracy of the genetic code in two manners: having more than one tRNA (with a specific anti-codon) for a particular amino acid; and 'wobble' base-pairing, i.e. permitting non-standard base-pairing at the 3rd anti-codon position.
Source: RNAcentral
UGGGGUGUCGCCAAGUGGUAAGGCAUUGGAAUUUGGAUCCACCAUUCAAAGGUUCGAAUCCUUUCACCCCAG